CAGCUUCUCACAGAGCUACAGAAAUGCCAGCUUCUAGGCCAAUGAUUCCCAAAGCUGUAGGGGAAAAGUCCACUGUCAAACCUCAAACUUUAUAAUUUAUUUUCCCUGCCUGCUAAAAAGAAGUAGAAAUUCCACAAAAAGCAAGAGAACAGGAAAAACACACUUGUGUAUCAAACUGAAGGUGAAGAAUAUGAAAGUGCUCUAGGGUUUCCAGCCAAAAUUCCCACAGAUGGAGGCACAAGAAGAAUGACGGAAUGUCCGAAUCGUCCUCUAUCACCAUCCUAUCAAAUGUACAACAGAACUCUCUUACAAGCAGCUCCCAGAAUCAAGCACUGGCUCAUUGACAGCAUGAAAUACUCUAGUACUUCAAAAAAGUGCAUUUAAAAAAACCAGCAACUGCUGGCAGCCAUGUUGAGUUUGAAACGUCCCUACAAUGAUU
This is a long non-coding RNA of Passer domesticus (house sparrow), 439 nucleotides long. RefSeq lists it as uncharacterized. Lineage: Eukaryota; Metazoa; Chordata; Aves; Passeriformes; Passeridae. The record is from RefSeq and is a predicted model, not a curated record. The transcript has 4 exons.